AACGAACGCUGGCGGCAUGCCUAACACAUGCAAGUCGAACGAGACCUUCGGGUCUAGUGGCGCACGGGUGCGUAACGCGUGGGAAUCUGCCCUUGGGUUCGGAAUAACAGUUGGAAACGACUGCUAAUACCGGAUGAUGACGUAAGUCCAAAGAUUUAUCGCCCAAGGAUGAGCCCGCGUAGGAUUAGCUAGUUGGUGAGGUAAAGGCUCACCAAGGCGACGAUCCUUAGCUGGUCUGAGAGGAUGAUCAGCCACACUGGGACUGAGACACGGCCCAGACUCCUACGGGAGGCAGCAGUGGGGAAUAUUGGACAAUGGGCGAAAGCCUGAUCCAGCAAUGACGCGUGAGUGAUGAAGGCCUUAGGGUUGUAAAGCUCUUUUACCCGGGAUGAUAAUGACAGUACCGGGAGAAUAAGCACCGGCUAACUCCGUG
This 433-nucleotide ribosomal RNA is filed under the name uncultured bacterium. Its description in RNAcentral is "partial 16S ribosomal RNA". It matches the Rfam family "Bacterial small subunit ribosomal RNA", at positions 29 to 507 of the family's 1533-position model. The record is from RNAcentral.